Molecule: long non-coding RNA, 22509 nt
Organism: Homo sapiens (human)
Lineage: Eukaryota; Metazoa; Chordata; Mammalia; Primates; Hominidae
Exons: 2
Source: RefSeq, a predicted model, not a curated record
UUUUUCUUUUGGUUCAAAAUAUUUUUAAUUUUCUCUAGUGAUUUCUUCUUUUAUCCAUGGAUUAUUGAUAAGUGCUUCGUUAAAUUUUGAAAUAUUUGGUGUUUUCCUAUAUCUGUUGCUACCUAUUUCCAAUUUAAUUCUACUGGGGCCAGAGAACAUAUUUGGUGUGACUUCUUCCUUUGUUUUUCCUGGUAUGAUCUCAAUCCUUUCACAUUUAUCAAAAUGUGCGUUAUGGCCCAGCAUGCAGUCUACCUUGGCGGAUGUAGCAUAUGCACAAGGAAAGAAUGUGUAUUCUGAAACUGGUCGGGUGCAGUGUUCUAGAAUGUCAAUUAGGUCAUGGUGGUUAAUAGUAUUGUUCAGAACGUCUACGUCCUUGUUACUUUUUGUUGCUGUUGUUUGUUUUUGUCUAAUUAUUCUAUCAACUGCUGAGGGAAAGGUCCUGAAAUCUUCAACUGUGACUGUGGAUUUCCCUCUUUAAUUCUGUCACUAUUUCUUGAAGCUCUUGUUAGGUACAUUUUUCCAUGCAGCAUUGGUUUUCUGCGGCUGCUGUAACAAAUUACCACAAACUGAGUGGCUUAUAACAACACACACUUAUUAUCUUAGAGUUUUGUAAGAUGAUAGGAGGUCAGAAGCCCAACAUCAUCAGAAGUUCCACAUAGGUCUCUCUUGCUCACCUCUCUCAGCUUCUGGACACUGACUGCAUUGCUUUCUCAUAGCCCCUCUGUCCACUUUCAAAGCACGCAGCAGUGCUCCGACCCUUCUUCCACAGUGACAUCUCUUUCUGACCGCGGUGUGGACAGGUUCUCUACUUUUAAGGACUCGUGUGAUUAGACUGGACCCAAUGGAUAAUCCAAGAUAACCGCUCCAUCUCAAGGUCCACAACUUUAAUCACGUCUGCAGAGUCCUUUUUGCCAUGUGAGUGCACUGCAAGAAGGUGGCCAUCUGCAAGCCAGGAAGAGGGCCCUUGCCAGAAACUGAACUGCCUGGCGUCUUGAUCUCGGACUUCCCAGCCUCCAGAACUGUGAGAAAAUAAAUGUCUUGUUUAAACCACCUAGUCUAUGGUAUUUUGCUACAGCAGCCCAAGCAGACUAAUACACAUACCUUCUAAAAGUAUUUAGAAAACCUAUGUAUCUUGCAUUUUUUUUUUUUUUGAGACACGGUCUCCUGCUGUUGCCCAGGCUGGAGUGCAAUGGUGCAAUCUCUGCUCACUGCAACCUCUGCCUCCUGGGUUCAAGAGAUUCUCCUACCUCAGCCUCCCAAGUAGCUGGGGCUACAGGUGCACACCACCAUGCCUGGCUAAUUUUUGUAUUUUUGGGUAGAGACAGGGUUUCACCAUGUUGCCCAGGCUGGUCUUGACCUCCUGGGCUCAAGCAAUCCUCCUGCCUUGGCCUCCCAAAGUACUGGGAUUACAGGCAUGAGACACCGUGCCUGGCCCCUCCUGCAUAUUUUUAAGGUGACAUCUACAAUUUUUCAAGGUAAAUUUAAAUGGUUGCGAAAAGAUGUAAUAUUUAGAAACAUUAUAUAUGGCAUGCAUGCAUUCAAUAUAUUAAAUUUAUAAAUGCAAUUUAAUAUGUAAGUGUAAGCUCUUUCAGAAUUUACAAAGAAGGUCUGACAUAGAACAUAAUUGGCAAAGCCUGUCUGCUCUGUCAAACAUUCAGGCGAAUCAGAUUUACUUUCUGUCAGAAAAAGUUUGACCUUAUUUUCAACUCAAACAUGCUAUACACAUCACAGUGAAAGCAUAGCACUUCGGGAUUCUUAGUUUUAAAACCAACUACCAGAUAGGUAAGGCAUGGGGAUGCACCAUGAGUUGGUAGCCUGGAAGAAAAAAGACCUGCCCUUCCGUUAUUUUUUACAGAGACCUUCUUUGCUUUGCUUUUAUGAGACUCUCCUUUAGGGCCAACGAGUUUUCAAACUAUUUCUGUUUGGUCCACCGAGGUAUUAUGUCCUGAGGUAAGGUAAGGAAGAUCGUAAAAUGUGGAAGGGGUCAGUGAUAUGCCUUUCUUCUGUACAGUAAGAGGAGAAGCCAUGAAAGCUGAUGGGAGAAAGGAGCAGCAGCACACAGACACAUUUCCUAACAGAUCGACAUUGGCCUGGAAUAUACACGGAAGUUAGAAACCAGGGAACUGGCUCCCUCGCCAAUUUAUCCCCAGGAAGUCUUUAUGUACCCCCAGGAAUAAACAUGCCCCAGUUUGAAGACUGCUGUGCUAAUGCAAUAGUAAUGACCAUACCAUAAACAAGUUACAAUUACUGGCCAAGAGACAGGAAUUGUUAGAUUGAAUAAAAAACAAGAACCAGAGGUACGCAGUCCACACAAGAUAGCUAAAACCAAUGAAUGCUUCAAGACUGAAAAUAAAGAAAUGGAAAAGUUAUAAUGCUGUUAUAAGUAAAAAGAAAAUCAAGUUAGCAAUUUUAAUAUCAGACAAAUAGAAUUUAAGAAGGAAAAGAGAUUAAGAAACCAGAAGAAUAUUAUACAGAAGUCACCUUCAUCCAUGGGGGGAUAUGUUCCAAGGCCCCCAGUGGAUGCCUGGACCAUGACAGUACUGAACCCUAUGUAUACAUCAUAAGCAAGAGUAGAUCUGAUAACUGAGACAGCUGCCAAGUGACUGACAAGCAGGUAGCGUGGACAGCAUGGACAGGCUGGACAAACAGAUGGUUCAUGUCUAGUCAGGACGGAGCAGGACAGUGCAAGGUUUCAUCAUGCUACUCAGAAUGGCCUACAAUUUAAAAUUUACAAAUUAUUUCUAGAAUUUGCCAUUGAAUUUUUCUGGAACAAAGUUGACCUCAGGUAACUGAAACAGUGAAAAGCAAAACCGUGGAUUAGGCAGGGGGAACUACUGUAUGCUAGUAAAAAUAAUAAGGCUGGGUGCAGUGGUUCACACCUGUAAUCCCAGAACUUUGGGAGGCUGAGGCGGGUGGAUCACUUGAGGCAGGAGUUCGAGACCAGCCUGGGCAACACAGUAAGACCCCCAUCUCUUAAUUUUUUUUUUUUUUUAAUUAGCUGGGCGUGCUGGUGUCUGCCUGUAGUCCUAGCUACUUAGGAGGCUGAGGCGGGAGGACUGCUUGAGCCUGGGAGGUUGAAGCUGCAGUGAGCUAUGAUCUUACUAUUUCACUUCAGCCUGGGGGACAGAGUGAGACCCAAUCUCAAAAAAAAAAAAAAAUCAUGAGCUCAUACACAAGUAAUAUAGCAUUAUGGAGAGAAAUAAACAAUUGUGGCAAAGAUUUUAAAAAUAUGAAUUAUUAAAUAUUUUUAAAAAUACACAAAUUUUUGGCCAGGCGCGGUGGCUCACACCUGUAAUCCCAGCACUUUGGGAGGCUGAGGCGGGUGGAUCACGAGGUCAGGAGAUCGAGACCACGGUGAAACCCCGUCUCUACUAAAAAUACAAUAAAUUAGCUGGGUGCGAUGGCGGGCACCUGUACUCCCAGCUACUCGGAAGACUGAGGCAGGAGAAUGGCGUGAACCCAGGAGGUGGAGUUGGCAGUGAGCCGAGAUCGCGCCACUGCACUCCAGCCUGGGCGACAGAGUGAGACUGUCUAAAAAAAAAUAAAUAAAUAAAUAAAUAAAUGAAAUACACAAAUUUUUAAAAAAGCAAGGACACGUUAGCUCCCCAUUGAGAUACCUCCUGUUGACAUUUCUUUUAAAGUUAUAUAUGUUUAAAGACAGAAAACUCAAAGUACAAGGAAGAUACAUAAGGUUAAUUAAAGCUCCUCUCCUUUCCCCGCUCCUUUCUUCCCCAAAGACAACCACUGUUAACACUGGAAAAAAAUGUUUUUACGGGGUGGGAGUUGUUGGAUUUACAAUUCUUAUUUAUGGCAGUCCACUGUUGCUUCCUUUAUAUCUGUGUCCCCUUGAGCGAGGAUCGACUAACGUAAAUCCUGCUUUGUAAAGGGGCCAGAAAAUGUGUGCAACUUAAUGUCUCAGAAAGUGAUGCAAACAUGCCAUAACAUGGAUGAACCUUGGGAACAUUAGGCUACGUGAAAGAAGUCAGUCACAAAGGUCACAUAUUGUCUGAUUCCAUGUAUACGAUAUAAAAUCCAAAAGGGGCAAAUCCAUAGAGAAAAAAGUAGAUUGGGGUUGCCUAGGGCUGGUGAGGAGAGGCUGGGGGAGACUGAGGACUGACUGCUAAUGGGUAGAAUCUACUUUUGGGGUGAUAAAAAUGUUCUAAAAUUAAUUGUGGUGAUGGUUGCAAAACUCAGUGAAUAUACUAAAAACAACUGAGUUGUAUACUUUCAAAGGGUGGAUUUUAUGGUAUGUAUAUUAUAUCUCAAUAAAGAUAUUGUUUAAAAAUGCCCCAAAUGCAGACUGAAAAUAUAAAUGCUUCCAACUGGGUUAUGAAGUAACAGGAGAAUUUUGAGACUGUUGAAGAAAACCAUCCCACAUUCUGACUCACAUCAGAAACAAUACUCAGUAUAAAGGACUGCAUCCAGGGUGAUAAUUCUCAAGUUAUUUCAGCUGUCCAGAGAGUACAAUGACAUAAAAUGAAGCAAGGGCGCUGCUGACAAAAAAGGCCUCCCUAGAAUACACAGUUGCAGUACAUGUGCUCUUUGGCUUCCAGGCAAUUCCUUGAACUUGAACUACACUCACACGCUUUGAGGCAAGCCUAUGAACUUGACCUGAGAACUGUUUAUUUCCCAAGCUAUAUGUUUCCAAACCUUCUGCUUCCUAUCAAUGAUUUCCAAUGGUUUUAAGGAACAUUUAAAGAAAAAUAGGACACAUUAGCUAGAUUUGGUUAAUUACAAAUCAAAUAAAUCCAAAGGAACAUAAUAAUGCAAAACUACUUCACCACUUAAAUUACUGGAGUUUUUGUUUCUCAGACCUUUUUGCUUGGUUUGGUUUUGCUUUUAUUUCAUUUCCAUGAAUGUAACACCUACAUAGAUUGGUGGUGUAACCACCACCACAAUCAGAAGGCAGAAGAGUGCCAUCACUCCCAAGCUCCCUCAGCUCUCCCUUUGUAGUCAUAUCCGCCCCCACCAAUUCCCAGCAACCACUGAUCUGUUCUCCAUCUCAACAGUUUUGUCUUUAGGAAAAUGUCAUGUUAAUAGAAUCAUACAACGUGUAACAUUUUAUGACUUAAUAGGCCUCCUUUAUUCAGUGUAAUGCUUUGAGAUUCAUCCGAGCUGUUGUGUUAGUUAAUAAUUAGUGUUUUUUUUGUUUGUUUUUUUGCAGAGUAGUGUUCUGUUGUAUGGACGUAUUACAAGUUGUUUAUCCAUUUAAUCAAAGGACAUUUGGGCUGUUCACAGUUUUUGGCAAUGGUCACGAACGUAAGCUUUCAUUUCCAUAGGCUGACUAUGUAGGAUUGCUGGGUUAUAUGUUAACUGUAUGUAAAACUUUAUAAGGAACUGCCAAACUGCUUUCCAGAGUAGCUGUGCCAUUUUGUAUUCCUUCUGGCAGUGUAGGAGAGUUGCUGCUCUGCACCCCCAAGGCACUGUCAGUAUUUCAUCUUAGUCACUCUAGUAAGUGCAUAUGAUAUCCUAAUUUUAACCUACAUUUCUCUAAUGAUUAAUGAUGUCAUGCAUCUUCUCUCGUGCUUAUUUGCCAUCUGUAUAUCCUCUUUGGUGAAGUGUCUGUCUUUUGCCCAGUUGAAAAAACUGGGUUACUUUCUUAUAGUUAAGUUUUGAGAGUUCUUUAUAUAUUCCAAAGACAAGCCCUUUGUAUUUGUAAAUAUUUUCUCCAAGUCUGUCUCUCGUCUUUUCAUUCUUAUAAAAGUAUCCUUCACAGAAUAAUAGUUUUUAAUUCUGAUGAAGUCAAAAUUUAUCUUUUUGAUGAAAUUUAAUUUGAUGAAGUCCAAUUUAUCCUUUUUCUUUUAUGGAUGGUGCUUUCGCUGUCAUGUCUAAGAACCUCUUCCCUAAAUCCCAGGUCAUGAAGAUUGUCUCAAGUUUUCUUCCACAAGUUUUAUAGUUUUAGAUUUUAUAUUCAGAUUUAUGAACCACUUUGAAGUAACUUUUGUAUAACAUGUGAGGAUUAGGCCAAAAUUCACUUCUUUUUGCAUAAGGGUGUCCAAUUGUUCCAGUACCAUUUGCUGAAAAGGCUAUACUUUCUCACUGAACGGACUUUUUACCUUUGUCAAACAUCACUUGGCAUUUUUGUCGGGACCUAUUUCUGGACUUUCUACCCACGUGUCCAAGCUCUCUGUAGGGUAACUUGUAAAAACACCAGGCUAACUCACAAUCUGAAUAAUGAACAGUGGUUGGGUACCUGGUUUAUUCCGUGAUAUAGGUUGCAGAAUGUGUAACCCAGGCUACACAAAUGAAAUAUUUAGAUCAGUUUUUGAUAUUACAAUAUAAGCAAGGCACUGCCAACCUGGAAGCAUUCCUUGACGGCAACUAAGAUAAUAAGGCAAAUAGAAAUCAUAACAUCUGACAACUGGCUGAGGAAAGCAGGGCUGUCUGUCCCGGAGCAAUGGAAAGAGAGUGUGAGCUCUGGCUCUGGACCUGUGCAACGGAGCUCAGUGGAAAGAACGGAUCCUUCUGUGUGAUCCCUAGGGAGACGAUUCUGCCCAAUGACUAGAACCAGGCUCUGUGCUUGGGUACAGGGAGUCCAGAGAUAGAUAGGCUAUGCUUCCUGCUUUCAGAGGGGGAAGCUACAGGAAAACUAUUUUGGUUUGCCAUUGGCCAUCUAGCCAAUGGUAACUAUAGCGCCCGUCUACUUUAGGUAAGAGACUGGAUCAAAGGACUUGCAGGGCUCUGAUUGUUUUCAGAUUAAACCCAAGGACAGUUUCUGUCCUAGGUUUAACGGCUUCCUGAAGAAACUGGGGUCAGGUAAAAAAAAAAAAAAAAAAAAAAAAAAAGAGAGAGAGAUCUGCCCAAGGUCUCAAAAUAUUGGCUGCAAAACUGAGUUUAGAAAUCAACCCUCCUGCUGGGCGCGGUGGCUCACGCCUGUAAUCCCAGCACUUUGGGAGGCCGAGGCGGGUGGAUCAUGAGGUCAGGAGAUCAAGACCAUCCUGGCUAACAUGGUGAAACCCCAUCUCUACUAAAAAUACAAAAAAAUUAGCUGGGCGUGGUGGCAGGCACCUGUAGUCCCAGCUACUUGGGAGGCUGAGGCAGGAGAAUGGCGUGAACCCAGGAGGCGGAGGUUGCAGUGAGCCGAGGUCGCGCCACUGCACUCCAGCCUGGGCAACAGAGCAAGACUCUUCCUCAAAAAAAAAAAAAAAAAGAAAGAAAAAGAAAAUCAACCCUCCUGACGUUUAGCCCAGGCCUCCAUAAUUUGUCAAAAUUCUUUUUUUUUUUUUGGCGGCGCGGGGGAGGAAGGUCUCGCUCUGUCGCCCAGGCUGGAGUGCGCUGGCAUCAUCUUGGCUCACUGCAGCCUCUGCCUCCCAGGCUCAAGCAACCCUCCCACCUCAGACUCCCGAGUAGCUGGGAUUACAGGCAAGCGCCAACACGUGCAGCUGAUUUUUGUAUUUUUUUUAGAGAGAGGGUUUCGCCAUGUCAGCCAGGCUGGUGUUGAAAUCGUGAGAUCAAGUGAUCUGCCCGCCUGGGCCUCCCAAAGUGUUGGGAUUACAGGUGUGAGCCACCUCACCUGGUCUAUUUGUCAAAAUUCUUAGUCAACACUGUGUUUGCUAAAGAAUAAAUAACCCAAUGCCUUCUUCAAUGACCUAAGCCUCAUAUAUACUCAUUGUAUGUGUGAGGCUGAGUAUCCUUAAUCCAAAAAUCUGAAAUUCAAAAUACUUCAAAAUUCAAAACUUUCUGAAUGCCGACAUGACACUCGAAGGAAAUGCUCAUUGGAGUAUCUUGGAUUUCCUUGUUAGGGAUGCUGACUCAGUAAGUAUAAUGCACUGUCUCCCGAGUUUUUCUUAUCAUUUGGCUAUCUCAGAGGCCUUUACAGAGAAAGGAAUCCUACAAUUUGAAAUUUCAACACUUUUUUUCCAAUGACAAAAUGGGGGAAAAUCAAAUCAAACAGGUCUCUUCUGAAGAUUUUAUUUCUGCUCUGAGCUGUUCUGGGUGACCUACUGCUCUAAUUAGGCUGGAAAUAAACCUGGCUUUCAUGAGAUGCAGGACACGGCUGGAGGAAAAAGUUGUCAAGACUACUUACAAUCAUCAGUGCCCACAGGCCUCAGAGCAUUCCAAGAAUUCAUUGAUUCAUUCCAUAAUUCAUUCUGCCCAUUAGGCACAAACACAGACACCCAGGGAGAACAAACACCACUGGCUGAUUUAGCUUUACUGAUCUGCCCAGGGCAGGACAGAGAUUAAAAAAACAAUAAUGCUGUAGUUUAUCAAUAGCUCCUCAAAUGGGUAGUGUGGUACAGCAGAAGUCAGCACAGCUGACAGUCCUAGCUCUACCUCUCUGAAUGUGUGUUCAUUGACAAAAUGGAAGAUUAAUCCCGUCCUUUCAACUUGACUGAGUGCUGGCAGGGAUCAAAUGAGACUGAGGAUAUGAGAAGUGCUUUGCAAACUGAAAAUCAUUGUGACCUACACGAGAGAGUUCUUCACCUAACAAACAUGUGUUGGGCGCCUAUUACGUGACCUGCUCAUGCUAAACACCACGGAUAGGAAGUAAAACAUAAUGCAGUCCUGGCCCUCAAGAAGACACUCAGAUAUCUGAUAAAGUGUGGCAGGUGCGAUAACAAGGCAAGAGCAGGGGAUGUGAGAGCACAGGAGGGCCCUUGGAUUACUCUGGAAACUUAAAAAGAUGACCAGGAAGAGGUGCCAGGAACAGAGGAUUAAGGCAGGAGUAGGAGUUAUGCACCAGCUUCCAGAAAACAUCACACACUCUUUUAAUACUCAAAACAAUCCCACAAAGUGGGCACUAUUUGUAUCGUCACCCUUAUUGUACUACAAAGCAGUGGCUCCCAACUGCAGACGGGAGUGAGGUGGCUGCCUUAACUACAUCAUCAGGCUUACCAACCCCUCUGGCAGCGUUCAACAACACACUAGCUGUAACUAGGUACUCCCUCCUUUUAUUGUCUCUAUGCCUAGCUUUUGCUCCAGUAUUUAUUUCUUUAUUUAUUUUUAUAGGGUCUUGCUCUGUCAUCCAUGCUGGAGUACAGUGGUGCAAUCACGGCUCACUGCACUGUCCCCAGUGGGAAAGUGGUAUAAGGAUGCCCCAUGGUCUCCCCUCCAAGCUCCCACCAAAGUGAGCCUGCUUCAACCCUUACAUCCAAGCUAUACUGGGGAGCUCACUGCUGAAACACUCCAUGCUGUUUCUCACUGUCCAUUCAGGCAGCGAGGACCACCCCUGCUUAGGUUACUUCCAGCUGAUGUGUGGAGAUGGUUUAGGCUUGGUCUUCUCCAAGAACCCUGGGCCUGGGAAUUAGAUACCCACACAUACCCCAGGUCUGCCUGUGGCACUCCUUGGAUCACAUUGUAAUUACAAUGGUCUAUUUCCAGGUCUGUCUUUAUGCUGUGAGCUCUCAGAGGACAAGUAUCAGUCCUUACCCGUCUUCCCCAGUGCCCGGCAGACUGAAAGUGUUCAAAUUAUGUUUGCUCUCCUAUAGCCUUUGGUUGAAGUCUUCUUGCCAGUUUUAAUAUGUAAUUCUGGAUUAAGGGUUUAUUGUUCUCGUUGUUAUUGUAUGUAUAUGUAAGCCAAAAUCUCUGUAUAAGAAAUACUGUGUGUUGUGAAAGUUAAAAUAUUAAAAAAAUAUAGGGACUAUCUCCCUUCCCAUCUUAGCUUCCUCCCAAGGCAACUACUGUCAUGAGUUUCUUGUAUACUAUUUCACAACUAUGCUACGCAGGUUCACACAUGUUGUGAAUCCCCCAACCCCCUUUUGCUUCACAAUGGGUGCACACUGUAAUACUAUUAUAAACCAUUAUAGAAAGAGGAUGUGAUCGAUAAUUUUAGAUGUCAACUUGACCGGAUUAAGGAAUACCUAGAGAGCAGGUAAAGUGUUAUUUCUGGGUGUGCCUCUGAGGGUGUUUCCAGACUGGCAUUAAGAGUUGGUGGACUGAGUAGGGAAGACCUACCCUCAAUGUGGGCGGGUCUAUCGUAGGACUUUACAACCUCCAUAAUCACGACUCAAUACCUCUAAUAAGUCCUCCCUUGUAUAUCUAUACAUAUACAACUGGGGGCCCAGAUACAACAAAAGGGAAGAAACACUUUGGGAAGCUGAGGUGGGAAGAUCGCUUGAGCCCAGGAGUUCUAGACCAGUAUGGGCAACACAGCAAGACUCUAUCUUUACAAAAAAAUUUAAAAAUUAGCCAGGCAUGGUGGCAUGCAUCUGUAGUCCCAGCUACUUGGGAGGCUGAGGUGGGAGGAUUGCUUGAGCCCAGGAGCAUGAGGCUACAGUGUGCCAUGAUUGUGCCACUGUACUCCAGCCUAGGCAACAGAGUGAGACCCUGUCUCUAAAAGAAAAAAAAAAAAAAAAAAAGGCAGAGGAAAGGUGAAUUCCCUCUCUCUUCUGGAGCUGGGACACUUCUUCUCCUGCCCCUGGGACAUCAGAACUCCAGGCUCUCCAGCCUUUGGGCUCCAGGACUUGCCUGAGCACCUCACCCCACCCCACCCCCACCCUGGGCUCACAGGCCUUUGGACUUGGAUUGAGCCACAAUACUUGCUUCCCUGGGUCUCCAGCGUGCAGACGGUCUAUCGUAGGACUUUACAACCUCCAUAAUCAUGACUCAAUACCUCUAAUAAGUCCUCCCUUGUAUAUCUAUACAUAUACAUAUACACACACACACACACAUAUAUAUACACACACACAUAUAUAUAUACACACACACAUAUAUAUAUACACACACACACAUACAUAUAUAUAUAUCUAUCUCCUAUUGGUACUCCCUGGAGAAUCCUGAUUAAUACAGAGGGGUUCCUAACCUGAGGUGCUCAGAUGGAUUUCAGUGAUCUAUAAAACCCUAAAAAUUUUAUGCCAUGUUGUUCCAUGGUGAACAGGUCUAUGUGAACCUACCCACAAAGGUUGAUGGAGCUGAUAUGCUGAAAAAAGAGGUUGACAAAUCCAGUUUUUCAGAAGGAAAAAUUUAAUAAGGACUCACAAACAGAAGCCAUAUCUCAGGUGGCCUUGAGACAGUCGAUCCCCACACUGUUAUCCACCAGACUCAGGGCUUAUAUACCUCAGAAAACUUGACUAAGGGCAGGGUUUAUGGUAAGUAUGUAUUUACAAUAACAUCAAUGCUGGUGAGUAUAUAAAAGUAGAAAUCUCAGAGGCAUUCCCGGAACUGGGGUCAAUCAGAAUUCAACAUGGCAGAUUAGCAUCCCAAAUGGAGUGGCUUUAGCCUCCACAAACGUUGUAGCUUAAGCAUAUUAUACUUUUUCAGGAGAAUGUGCUAAUAACUACCAUUAAUUCCUCAAAGUAACUCCUGGUCUCCAAAAAGAAAUCUUCCUACCAAAAAAAGCAUAUGAACUGGCCCUGGGCACAGUGAAUGCUACUGAAGCACCCUCACGGCAUGCUCACCCUGGCCAGAGGUCGCUGGGCCCAGGGCCCAGAGAUGGGGGAGUUUAAGGAGGCAGCGUCUCCACUGUGCGCUUGUCAGUAACAGAGAAAUGAGGAGCAAUUUAGAGAGUAUUUUGAAACUUCCUGUAUCAAUGCAAAUCUAAUACAGAGCAAAGAAUAUCACGUAAGUCUGGAAAUUCUAUUUGGCCUGGCACUUUUAAACCCAUUUGCUAAAUGCAACAAUGUAACCGAGAUUCUCUGUCUUAGUUACUUUCUGUCUCAGUUCAUCAGGGCUCUAGACAUCCAAUUUGGUAGCCUUUGGUAGCCUCAAGCCAUGUGUGACUACCGAGCACUUGAAAUGUGGCCGGUCCAAAUUGAGAAGUGAUGUUAGGGUAAAAUACAGCCCAAAUUUCAAAGACUUAGUACAAAAAUGUAAUGUAAUAUAGUUAAUUAAUAAUUUUCAUAUUACCAUAGUAACACUGUUGAAAUUAUAUUAUGGAUACAGUAGUUUAAACACAUAUAUUUUUUAAAUUAAUAUGAUCCAUUCUUUUUACUUUAGUUCAUAUGGUUAUUAAAUAUUUAAAAUUCCACAUGCAGCUCCCAUUUGUGGCUUGAGUUGUUUUUACUGGGCAGUGUGGCUUCAGAGAUCAGUGCACAACUAUUCACUAUUCUCUGUUCUCCAAUUAAUUGAUUCCCACCUUAGAAAUGUUUUCUUCUAGAAAUCAAAAGUAAAGCUUUCAGAUAGGGUUUUCUAGUCGGGUAUUACUAUUGGCACACAAAUAAAAAACAGUUCACCAAAAAAUACCUGGAAAAAUAUACUAAAACUGACACAUUCAUUUAUGGGGUCUAAGUCCAUGGUGAAAUCCAUUUGGCAAUACCCAACUGAAAAUAUCUUUGAAGUCUGGGAUGUAUUUUGCACUGAUAUCACUUCUCAGUUUCAGAAGGAUAUAAGUCUAAUAAUAAUCUCUUAAAAGACAUUUACUGAGCACCUACUGUGUGUUGGGGUCUUCACAUUUAUUACAAUCAUUUCCACUUUAAAUAUGAGAAAUCUGAAGCUCAGAGAGUGGCUCCAGGCCAUUUGACUAGCAAGCGGCAUAGACCUAGGUCUUGGCCACAGGAAAUUGCCCCAUCCCUCCUUCUGCCCACAUUCUGCCUUCUUUUAUAUUUGCACCACAGGACAGUUCACGUUCUUUCUGAUACAUUGUAUCAUUUAAUUAUCUAAACUAUGCUGUGAAGUAAACAGGGAUGUUACAAUUACUGUAUUAAAAGGAGGCAUCCAAGCCCACCUCACAUCUCAUGGCUUGUAACAGGAGAGCAUAAUCUUACACCUAGGAGUUCUGGGAAAAAAAGUUCAAUAUCUUUUCCUUUCCAUGCUGCCAAUCAUAACUUCCUCCUUUUAAAACUGACUGCCUUCCUAGGUUUGGAGUUAAAAGGAAUGGGGGAAGAGGAACACUUAUUGUUAACAAUAACCAUAUUGUAUCAACAAUGCCACUGUUUCUAAGUACACAUUUCUGCAUAUUAUGUAUUAAUAUAUUAUUAAUAUAACAUCACUGUGAAUUUAUAGUGUUGACUGACCCGGAAUUGGGGUCAAUCAGAAUUCAACAUGGCAGAUUAGCAUCUCAAAUGGAGUGUCUUUAGCCUCCACAAACGUUGUAGCUUAAGCAUAUUAUGCUUUUUCAGGGGGAAUGUGCUAAUAACUACCAUUAAUUUCUCAAAGUAACUUUAUGUUAUUACAUCCUCUAUUUCAUUUGCUCUUCCAUGCCCACAUUUAUUAUUCUUAUUUCAAAGAGGAUGAAACUGCAGCAUACAACAGCUAAGUGAUUUAUGAAAGCUCUCAGAGCUACUUACAGACCAAAAACACAGGCAAUAAAGGUCAUGAAGAGUUAAAUGGAGACACGGAGACAUACUGAGGCAAAACCUCUCCUCCUGGUCUCACAUCCCAGGGAAGGUGCCUCACUAUUCAAUAUAUAAACCCUUUGGUGCAGACUGGGGAGAUAAAAGCAAAGGAAAGGAAGACCUCCUUUCUCAGGUUGAACUGCGUUUGCUGACUAGCAGUCAGGCUCCGUUCUGUCCUGCCCAGAUGGCUGCUUUCUGAGGGGCAGACGAGCAGCCACACUCUACCUUCUCUCUGCUCCCAUGCUAAAAGGAAAAACAUGGGGAAACAAUGACAAAAAGAACUAAUCCAAGUCCAGAGAACGUGUAGCUUGAAUGUAGACUAGACGGGAGGCUAAUCUGAGCUGAGGAGAGGAUACAGGGCGAGGGGAAGAGCUACAUGGUAGAUUGUGAACAAGGAAGAGUUCACAAGAGAAAAAAUACAGUAAUGUUAAAAAUGCAUAAAGAAAGGAGGAGAGAGAAAAAAGCGGAACAAAAGGAGCUGGUAAAAAUCUGUAGUAAGGGCAGCAAAGUGCUAGUAACAGGAUCACUGUGCAUUGAGCCGUUUGCUAAGGCUGUCCAAGUGCCACAAGCAAACACAAAGGGACAGAAGCCACAAAGAUCAACAGCUCAUGGGGGCUGGGCACAGUGGCUCAUGCCUGUAGGCCCAGCACUUUGAGAAGUCAAGGCAGGAGGAUCCCUUGAGCCCGGGAGUUUGAGAUCAGCCUGGGCAACACAGCAAGACUCCAUCUCUGCAAAAAAGUUAAAAAAUUAGCCCAGUGUGGUGGUGUGCACUUGUGGUCCCAGCCUCUCAGGAGGCUGAGGUGAGAGGAUCACUUGAACCCAGGAGGUCGUGACACCCAUGAUCGCGUCACUGCAUUCCAACCUCGGUAACAGAGCGAGACCCUGUCUCUAUUAAAAACAAAAAGCAGCUCAUGGGGUCAGCCACACCACCCAGACACACAAGCCAGAGAGAACAGAGUGGGUGAAGAUAUAGACCAAUUCCAGGCUAGGAAACUACUUACCAUCCCCUACUGUACAGAGAACUUCACUGUUGUUGUUUAUUUAGAAAUUUCUUAAAUGUGGUUUAUUCAACACUUCAGUAACUCUAGUUAUUUUACCCAUAUUAUGUGUCCAAAUUAUUCAUGUGACUUAAAGUUUUGCUUUAAAAGCUUCUAACAACUGGGUGCAGUGGCUCACGCCUGUAAUCCCAGCACUUUGGGAGGCUGAGGUGGGUGGAUCACUUGAGAUCAGGACUUUGAGACCAGCCUGACCGACAUGGCAAAACCCUGUCUCUACCAAAAAUACAAAAAUUAGCCAGGUGUGGUGGUGCAUGCUUGUAAUCCCAGCUACUUGGGAGGCUGAGGCAGGAGAAUCACUUGAAUCUGGGAGGCGGAAGUUGCAGUGAGCCAAAAUUGUGCCACUGCACUCCAGCAUGGGGAACAAGAGUGCAACUCCGUCUCAAAUAAAUAAAUAAAUGGCCUCUAACAAGGAUUGUUUUAACUAGAAAAUAACUGAACUUCAUAAAGUGAGAAAAGCUGAAAUCAUGGGGUAUUCAUAUGAGGAAUCCUAUUUUUAAAAUAUUUGUCUCCCACAGGGUCUCUGUCCCCAAGGUUUAACUUUGAAAAGCUCAAAUGUUCUUACCUGUCCUUUUUCCCUUCAGUUCUUAUACUUAUUUGGUGACUUGGUUAAUGACUCUAUUUUCUGAAAUCUGAGAAGCCAGUCCUGGGCCCUAUGGGUCAUGGCUGCAGAAGGAAACACAGUCCCCACUCUUGAGGAAUUCAUCUGCUUUUGGGAGAGGCAGGAUAUAUUCAAGAGAACUAAAAAAGUUGGAAAAGUAACCAAUAACCCAAACUGUAUCCCUAGUUUCUGAUCUUUGUGAGUACAAAGUUAUAUUCUUUCUUUACAGCAACACACACACACACACACACACACACACACACACCCCAGGGCACAGCACACAGGGUACUAAGUGGUACCUAAGACCAUCUCUGACAGCUACCCACCCAAGCUGUGGCCUCUGCCAAGAGUUGAGGGAUAUCAGUGAAGUUCUAGCAUUAUUCUGUUUAAGCUUUUUAUUAUGAGCAGUUAAUAAUUUUUCAAUUAAUAAAACUAGCUUAUUAAAAAUAAAGAAGUUUAAUGGCACAAAGGGACAAGUGAAAUGCAAAUGGGACCCAGACUUGUUCCGCUUGUUAAGACAGUAUCCUGAUUUGGGACUAAGAGCCCUGGCUGUCCAGACCACGUGGGCUUCAAAACCGAGAGGAGGCAGUGGUGGGCAACCUUGUCCGCCAUCUGAGUCCAUCGCUUCUGCUCUUUGAUAUGGCAAGUCAGAAUUAAAUAUUCUGAAGGCCCAACAGAGCUGGGAAGUUUGUCCAGACAAGAGCAUGAUAAGAUCAGUUUGUUUAAAACCUGCUGUGGAUUUAUUUGCUUUGUCCAUGCUUAGCAAUUCUGUCCACUUGCCACAACUUCUUCAGAUUUUAAUUUCCUUCUUUUCCUCUUAAUUCUAUAGACAUGGCCAACGUGGUGCUUUAUUAAAUCUACAGAGCUGGUUGCCAGGCACUUCCUUCUGCUGCCUGCAGCUCUCCGUCUACAGUAUCCUACCCAGGAUGAUUUCAGCUUUCCUUAGUCUACACUUUCCCCUCACUGAAAAGCAGCAGAAUGGGAAUCCACAGAGCUAGUUCCAGUCCUGUUGCUAACUAACCUGGUGAUCACAACCAAGCUCUGACCCUGUCUAGGUGUGUUUCCUCCUCUGUAAUUUCUAACUUGCUGAAAGUGGUGUUAAUGAAAUGACAUAUUGUUAAUACAGUUCUCGGCCCUCAAUAGUUGAAUAAAUAAAUGGAAGCUAUCCCAUUUGUAUCCCUAAUGUCUAGCUCUGAAUGAAUGAAAGAAAAUAACUAUAUAUUGCCUGGGACAUAGUGGCUGUUUCGGAAAUAUUACUUCUCUUUCCCUUACCCACUGGAAAUACCUCAAGGGAACUGGCCAUGUCUGCUCUGGGGAAGCGAAAGGUAAAUACCAUGUCCAAAAGAGGGACUCACAGAGAUCUGAACAAGGGGAUACCUAAGGAACUUUUUUGGUUCUAAUAUUCUAUAUUUUAUUUGUACAUUUAGCAAACACUGCUGAAGACUUGAAACACAUGCUGGACACCAGCCAAGCCUGGAAUUAAUGUCACGUGCUCCUUCCACAGUGCAUCAUCUAGAAGGCAGGGACUGACAAAUCCAGUUAACAAAAGGGCAUGAGAAGUACAGAAACAGAAGUAGGUGCAAGAGUAUUUUCAGAGUAUAUGAGAAGGAAGAUUAACUCUACCUGGGGGAAUGAAAGAGGAAAAGGUAAGCCUUGAACACUGAGCAGAAGGCCCCUGUUAGAAAGGCUUUCCUGGAAGUGAUUCCUUUAAUCAAUGUCAUGUAGCUUUCUAUCUGGAUGCUACACCUUGGAGAAAUUAGACUAGACAGUGAUUGUCUCUCCAGAGCCUUUUAUUCCAGGCUCUUCAACGGACUGCCCUUCAGAUGUGGUCUUGAGUCCCCUCACCUUCUUCUUCUUUCUUUCUUUUGAAAGAAAAACCUAUCUUAGUUAGCUCAGGCUGCCAUAACAAAAUACCACAGACUGGGCAGCUUAACAGCAGCAAUGUAUUUUCUCACAGUUUUGGAAGCCCAAGAGGAAGGUGUUGGCAGGUUUGCCUUCUCUGGAGGCCUCUCUCCUUGGCUUGUGGACAGCCACCUUCUCACUGUGUCCUUAGAGGGCCUUUCCUCUGAGCAUGAGCAUCCCUCAUGUCUUCACCUCCUCUCACAGUCCUAUUGGACUAGGGGCCACUCUUAAGACCUAAUUUAACCUUAAUUACAUCCUUAAAGGCCCUAUCUCUGAAUAAAGUCACACUGAGGUCAGGGGCUUCAACCAGUGAGUUGUGGGAGACAUAAUUUAGUCCGUAACAGUGCCCUAGAGUGCCACGGUCCUCUGUUAAACACCUAGACAGAAGAUAACACUGCAGCUGUGGUCUGACAAUUUUGAAGAUGACUGGGAUGGUCAUCUCCUUUGGAGGUAAAAUGAUACACAUUUUAGUCUGCUUUUUUAUUUUUCUUGCAGUUUUGCAUUAUUCAGGAUUUUUUAAGCUGCAAGUAACAGACAUGAACAAUGAAAUUUGUUGUUUAUAUACUGCAAAACAAAAAAAAAGGUUUAUGGGUAAGCCUGGCUUAAGUUAAAUACCUGAGUGCACAUGGUCAAGGCUGCCAUGAGAACUUGCUCUCUUGUCAUUACUGAACUCUACUUCCCUUUCUCUUGGCUUAUUAGUCUUCCCCACAUGAUGGGAAAUAAUGAUUUGAAGCUUUCAUGAUCUUGACAGCUCUUGAUCCCAGAAAAAAGAAACCAAACAGUAUCUUUUAUAAUAGUUCUAGCUCAAGUCCCAUAGAGCAGCGGUCCCCAACUUUUUUUGGCAGUAGGGACCAGUUUCAAGGAAGGCAAUUUUUCCAUGGACUGGGGUGGGAUCGGGGGAUGGUUUUGGGACAAAACUGUCCCACCUCAGAUCAUCAGGCAUUUGAUUCUCAUAAGAAGAGCACAGCCUGGCUCCUUUGCAUGCACAGUUCACAGUAGGGUUUCUGGUCCUAUGACAAUCUAAUGCCACUGCCGAUCUGACAGGAGGCAGAGCUCAGGCAGUAAUGCUCACCACUGCUCACCUCCUGCUGUGUGGAAUGGUUCCUAACAGGCCACGAACUGGUACUGGUCCUCAGCCUGAGGGGUUGGGGACCCCUGCCAUAGAGAAUUCUUAGAUGACAAAACUGCCCCUAAACCAGUCACCAUAGCCAGGGGAUUGAGUCUUGGUCUGGCCAGGUCUGGGUCAUGUGCUGCCCCCUAGGUGAGGUGGGGGAUUAGACCCACAUAAACUACAUGACAGGUAGUUAGGUCAGAUUACUGUUGAAUAGAAAAUGCUAGCUCCCUUCUACCCAACUAACCAGUUGCUGGCAAAACACGUAUCUUUCUAGAAAUAAUAAUGUGAUCCUAGCAGACAAAUAGGUGUGCUAAAAAUGACCUGAAUGUCUUUUCUUUUAAAUUUCUCAAUCUUUGUGCAAUGUCUUACCUAUUGGAACAAUCUCAAACUGAUACUUGUUUCUUUGGCCAGGUGCUAGAAAACAAAUGUCUCAAAGAGGGUAAAUGACGCACCUGUACAUCUCAGCGCUCUCCCCAUCAGUGAAAACCACACUGGUAUGCAAAACGGCAGCACAUUUCUCUUCCUGACAAUUCUUAAUAAAUUAGAGCUAGACUUUAUCAUAGAAACAGUAAGAGUAACUACAUCAAUAGGGUGGUACAUUAGAAAUUCCUAUUAAAAAAAAAAAAGAGAAAACAGAUGGCCCCAUCUGAGGGAGUGAGCAGCAUAUAAAAAGAAAAAAAAACACAUACACUGUUGAAUGAAAUUACCAUCUUGGAACUAUGCAAAACAUUUGUUGUUGCCAAAAAAAACACAUAAUAAACUGCCUUAACAGUCCAAACCAGGGUACAAUACAGUGAAUGAAGGAAACAUAGGUUCUGAUUUUCUAAUUGAGUGACUUCAUUUUAACUCCAAAAAUACAAAAACCAGCAAAAACACAAUUUAGAAAGAAAAUUUGAGGAAUAAUGUCUCAUUUUAAAAGUUUUUCAGUUGUAACAUACCAGUUACAGAACCCAGAGACACAGAAGGCAAACUUCAUUCAUUCCUCCAACUGUUAAUUGUUCUAGUAGCUGGUAGUUGCUGUGCUACAUACUAGGACAGAAAUAAACUUGGUAAACAACAAUUUCAAAAACAACUUCAAGCUUUACUGUUUACUAAGCAUUUUUGCAUAUAUAAUCAUACUUUUCCUCACAACUACCACAUUUCACAGAUAAGGGAGACUCAAAACGAAUAUAUAAUUUGCCCAGAAUAACACAAUAAUUACCAAUAAGAGGAGGAGCCUGAGCUCACAUCCAAAUGGGACUUCUAAUCUUAUACUCUUUUAUCUUACGCAUUUUUUUUUUAAAGAGUUGGGGUCUCACUCUGUCACCCAGGCUGGAAUGCAAUGGCAUGCUCAUUGUUUACUGUAGCCUCGAAUUUCUGGGCUCACAUGAUCUUUUUUGCCUCAGCCUCCUGAUUAGCUGGGCCCACAAGCAUGUACCACCAUGCCCGGUUAAUUUUUUUUUUUUGGUAGAGACAGGGUCUUGCUCUGGUCUCAAACUCCUUGCCUCAAGUGAUCCUCCCACUUCAACCUUCCAAAGUGUUGGGAUUCAUUUUGACCUAAAGAUUUUCUUCUUCCUUACUCUUCUAAUUGCCAGGUCCAGAUUCUCCUUCCACUAUGGCAAGCAGUGUUUUCUAGAAUGUAAACUCAAAAUUAAGUGUUAUGUUUAAUAUGUGGGAAACUCAGGGGGCAAAAUCAACAUUCCCCUUCCCAUAAGACUUCUCAGACCCUUCAUGCUACUAUGUACUGUCUUUUUCGGGGCAGGGGUGAUUAUAAUUUUUCUUUUCUUUUUCUUUUUUUUUUUUUUUUGAGACAGAUUCUAGCUCUGUUGCCCAGGCUAGAGUGCAGUGGCGUGAUUUCAGCUCAUUGCAACCUCCACUCUUGGUUUCAAGCAAUUCUCAUGCCUCGGCCUCCUGAGUAGCUGGGAUUAUAGGCACCCAUCACCACGCCUGUUUUUUUUUGUUUUUUGUUUGUAUUUUUAGUAGAGACGGGGUUUUGCCAUGUUGCCCAGGCUGGUCUUGAACUCCUGACCUCAGGUGAUCCGCCCACCUCGGCCUCCUGAAGUUCUGGGAUUACAGACAUGAGCCACCAUGCCCGGCCUACAGUUCUUCUUAAACUGACCACAGGACUUCUUGUUUUUGUUUUGUUUUUCCCACGAAGUCUUGUGUAUGACUAAAACAGCAGUCAAAACACAGGUUCCAGAGUCUGAUGGUCUUGGGUUCAAAUGCCAGCUCUGUGUGAUGCUGGAUAAGUUUUUAAACCAGCAUAUGACUCACUUUCUUCAUCUGUAAAAUGGACAUGACAACAAGAGCAGCUAUCUCAUAGGGCUCUUAUAAGGCUACAAGUACAUAUGCUUAUGCAUAUAAAGUACUUAGCAGGUUACACUGAUCAUAGUCAAGUUCAGUAAGUGUGAGAGAGCCACUUAUUCAAUAAAACAUUAUAUAAAACAAACAUUGCUAGAAUACCCAACAGGUUUUCCUUGUUUUACAAAAUUAGGGUAGAAAGCAGCUAUGGAAUGAUGAAAACAAAUGUUGACUUUUUAGUUAGAAGAUACAGAUCCAAAUCCUAGCUUUGCCACUUAAGCAGUGUGACUUUGAGGAGGUGAUUUAACCUCUCUGAAUCUUAGGAGCCUCUUAGGUAAAAUGGUAAUAAUAAUGUAACCACCUGCCUCUAGAAUCUGCUUUUGACUGGUGUUCAUAGGAUUACUGUGAAAAUUAGAUGUGAUAACAAAAGUGCCCACAGUACAGCAGGCACAUUUGAAAGUGUGUUACCUUGUUUGUAUAGGAAUCUAGAAGAAUCAGAAGUGCUUAAUUUAUAUAUGUAAGGACUUUUAAAACUUCACAUGGGUUUUUACUAACUCAAACCCUUUUGUCAAUCCCUACAGCUUUGAAAAUCUACCAUUCGGCCCUUUUAGUCUUUCCGGCUGAUCUUUCCCAUCCACAAACAGAUGUUGCUCACUGGAUUCAGCACUUCCAUCAAAAUCCCCAAAAGCCUUCAUGCUUAGAAAUGAACAGACAUCAAAAAGGCAGCAACUGUCCUCUUUACUGCCAUUUCCUCUUCUAGGGCCUGUGACAUGACAAGGAUAAUGCAGGAGGUUAAAAAAAAAAAGGUAAUAAAAAUGAAUAAACAAAGAGUGCUGAGAAGCCAACAUGUGUCCAGCUCUGCUCAACUGUGACAGAUGCCUUCAAGUAACCCUCAAUCUAGUUAAGAGGAUAAGAUAGAGGAAAUUAAAUAUCAGAUUGUUUAUUAUAUACCUUAAGUGUUAUAGGAGAGUUCAGAAAAAAGAGAAAUUUUGUGGGCUGUAGAGGUCAGAAAAGGCUUCCUGAAGAAAUACUGCAUGCACAGGGCUGGGUUUUAGAGGAUUUCAUGGAAAGAAAAAAAGGUUUGGAAAUGGGGAAGCAAAGUGGUGAGUGCAGAUCCAGACUAAAUCAUUUUUUUGGAGCGGAAGGAGCCAAGCUUCAAGAGACCGCAGCCAGACCAUGGAGGGCUCCACCUGUAGAAAACAAUGAAAAGCCGUCCUGGCAAUGGACAGAAUUUUAUAUCCACAAAGUACUGGGAUACCAUCCUCUCAUCCCACCUUUCUAUGAAGCAAGCUGUGUUUAAGCAUUCGGUCAUGGGUAGGGAUGAAUUGAUUAGUAUUUUGUUCAUACCAGGGAUCUGAUAAUCAUGAAUGCCCCAACCAAGCAGCCCAGGACAACAAACAAGAAUUUUAUCAACUGUAGCAAAACGUGUCAACCUUCUCUUCCUUAGGAAUCUCUAUUCCUUCACUCCCCAAAAAGGUGGAGAAUAAAAGUACACAAUCUUCAUUCUGUGGCUUUGGAAGUGCUCCAAGGUACAUUUGAUUUGCAUGCAUCCUCUCUCCAGGAAAAGGAAUUUCAUCACUGAGUGCACUUCUUAAAUCACAGAAUGUUUCAUUGCCCUGCUCAUAAAAAUACAUCCAACCACCACUUUUAUCCAUCUCUUUUAUCACCUCUCUUAGGAAGCCUCUAUCUUGACUUGAUACACAGUUGUCUGAUCUAGCAGAUACAGUGAAAAAUGAAUAAGAGUGGUAACUUCCGAAAAACUAGGCAGGGGAGCCCUGCGAGGGGGCGCUCAUCUUCCUUGCUCCUGGUUCUCUUCCUUGGUGUCUCUGGUAUGCAGUCUGUGCACAUGGGACCCAGAGUUGAUUUUCAAAAAGGAAAGAGCUCCAAGUGUUCCUGUUUCUCCCAGGGCCACACAACAAGUGAAAGUAAAUCGUCUUUUCUCUCUUCUAGCACUCGUGCUGAUGAAGAUGGGGGGCAGAGUAGUCACAAAGAAUGCAGUGUGAGUCAACCCUGGCAUCUGGAAGGAUCUGAACUGGCUGACUGGAGUGAAAAGAAUUCUUCAUGUCUGUAAAUUAUUACGAAAUGCCCUGAAGAGCCCAGUGACUAGUCACUGAGUAUCAAACCCAGGAAAGACCACGAACCAGCAUAAGUUCUAGAUCAAACAUUGUAGUCUGUACAAGCCACACUUCUAACACAUCUAGGUUCAAUCUGCCUUCAGAGGUGCCAGUGGAAUUCAAAAGCAUGUUAUAGCACUUUUCAUUUUCCAGUGCUCUUGAUUAUGAAAGCUCACACAUGGCCAUUCUCCUCUCUGAACAUCUCUGCAAAUAAAAUAUUAUUCCUAUUUUA